Long non-coding RNA from Ctenopharyngodon idella (grass carp), 588 nucleotides. RefSeq lists it as uncharacterized. The record is from RefSeq and is a predicted model, not a curated record. Lineage: Eukaryota; Metazoa; Chordata; Actinopteri; Cypriniformes; Xenocyprididae. The transcript is spliced from 5 exons.
UAUUACAAGGAACCGUGUUUUUAGUUUUCAAUACUCACAUUUGAAAGCAUCCGCGCCGCUUUUCUCCUCCGUGUUCAAUUAUGACGUAUCCUCUCCCGUGGCCUCCUGGGAUAGAAAAGUAUCGAUCGAGGAACACUUCAGAAUCUGGGCGGAAGCAGCAGGCCAUCCGGGAACUUCUCGACUAUUCAUUUAUGAUUACUGAGGUUUCUGGCAUACUUAAUUGCUCGCCUACUGCUUUUUCCCUAUUAUAUAGUAGAGAAGUAUGCGGUUUCGGACGCACUUUAAGUAGACGCACGUCCGAAUCUCACGAGAAUUAGUACGUCAUCCAGAAGCAGAAGCAGAGAUAGUUUGUGCAACAGCAACAAGGUGCAGGUCCAAACCCAUCUGUCAAGACGCUUCUUUGUCCACUUGCUGUCCGCCCCACCAGCCCAACGAUUGUGCUGGAGAGCUUUUGACCACAAGUCAUAGAAAAAGAGAAUGUCAUAAUCAUCUGGAACAGCAUGAGGGAGCAAAGAGCAAAACUGACAGUGGUGGAGAGAGAAGAAGUGCCCUUGAUGAGGAAACCAUGGCAGCCAUAUAUACAGUAAG